RNAcentral lists this long non-coding RNA (1399 nucleotides) under Sus scrofa (pig). Its description in RNAcentral is "lncRNA (ENSSSCG00005034577.1)". The record is from RNAcentral. Lineage: Eukaryota; Metazoa; Chordata; Mammalia; Artiodactyla; Suidae.
AGACUGCUGGGCUUCCAGAGCAGGAGCCCCUACCCCGCGUCCCUCCACAGGCGAUGUCUGUCUAACCGCGCGCGCGCCGGCGGGCAGGAAAGCCAGUCUGUCUCUGUCCUAUUACUGGGCCUCCCUGAUGCUGCUCUCAAACCUCUGCCUGGGAAGACAGGGCCUCAUGUGUGGCAUGCCAGGAGAGGGGUCAAAUCAGAGCUGCAGCUGCCGGCCUACACCACAGCCACAGCAACACAGGAUCUGAGCCAUGUCUGCGACCUACACCACAGCUCACGGCGACGCCGGAUCCUUAACCCACUGAACGAGGCCAGGGAUGAACCUGCAUCCUCAUGGAUGCUAGUUGGAUUCAUUACUGCUGAGCCACAAGGGCAACUCCGUAGAAUGUAGUUUCUAAGGGGAGUCUUUUCCCUUCCAGGAAAGCUACCACAAUAGGAUUUUCUGUAAUACUGGCCUAUUCCUUGGCUGUCUGUCACCAUGUGUGGUGCUGUCGGCAAAGAUGGCCAUGCACAGGCCACCCCUAUUGGCAUAUGCUACUCCUCUCAUCAGAAGGUGCAGUCUAUUUCCCUCCCCUUGAAUCAAGGAACUUGAGUGUGGCUUGGACCAAUAGAAGGAGACAGAGGGGGUGCUGUUCCAGUCUGGGCUGAGGCCCUUUGCUCUCUUGCCACCUUGAGCCACCACCUAAAGUCCAGGCUGUCAUGUUGGGCAGAAAGCCAGCCACCAACCUCUAGGCCCCAAGCCUGUGAGAGAAGCCCUAGUCCCAGCAGCCUAGCUGACAUCACAUGGAAUAGUCCUGAGACAGCACUAAUGAAUUCUGCCCAAAGUCCUGGCCCACAGAAUUGGGAGCAAGAAAAUGCUUUUGUGGGUUAAGCCUCUAAAUUUUAGGCUGAUUUGUUACACAGCAAUAGAUAGCUGACACAUUAUACCCAGUGGAUCCCAAUUUCUUCAUUUGCAAAAUGAUGGAUCUGUCUUCCAUCUUUGCAGCCAAACCAACACUGCCAUAAGUCAGGUCAGCGCCUCCCACCAUAAAUAAGUCUUUUGAUAUCUGGGCCCCAAACAAGGGUUUGAAAUCAGGAAAAUUACUCCUGAAUCUUUAAGCCUACAGCACUAAUGCAACAGAAAUUCAUCAAGGAAAACAAAAGAACACACCGUUUCAAAGCACUGAUUUUGGAGUGGGGCCUCCAGGCUUUGAAUUCCAGUUCUGCCACUUCCUGCCAUCUGAUCUUGAAUAAGUUUCUUUCUCCAAGUGUCAGUCUCCUCAUCUGUGAAAUGGGGAUAAUGAUAGUGCCUACUUAUAGGAUUAAUGUGAGACGUAAAUUAAAUAGUGUCCAUACCUUAUUUAGCAUGGUGCUCAGAUAUCAAAAAUAUUCAAUAAAUGGUAGCUAUUCUCUUUAUUGGC